GAGAUCUGAAAUCAGGGACUGCAGAAACAGAACCUGUAGAGGAAGACUCUUCACAGCCUUCCUUACCUUUAGUGAGAGCAGAUGAUCCUCUAAGACUUGACCAGGAGUUGCAGCAGCCCCAAACUCAGGAGAAAACAAAUAAUUCAUUAACAGAAGACUCAAAAAUGGCUAAUGCAAAGCAGCUAAGCUCAGAUGCAGAGGCCCAGAAGCUGGGGAAGCCCUCUGCCCAUGCCUCACAAAGCUUCUGUGAAAGUUCUAGUGAGCCUGCAACUGGUGAAAGAAAAAAUGGAUCUACUGCUGUUGCUGAGUCUGUUGCCAGGUAACCAAAGCUGGAUGCUAUUUAGAGUUUAAUACGCAGCUACUGGUAAUGAGGGUAGAUGGUUUAUCAACAAAGGAAAAAAGUUAAAAUGAGACUCUUUCAUAAAGGAUUUAGCAAUGUUUUGAAUGAAUCAUAGACUUUUUAGUUAAUACUUUUUUAAGUGUAGUGAAGCUUUUUUCUACACCUAGAACUAAGAUAAUUGAAAUGUCUUUUCUUUUGUUCAUGUGAGAGUUCCCUUCCCCCCUUUUUUCUG
Molecule: small RNA, 572 nt
Filed under: Pongo abelii (Sumatran orangutan)
Lineage: Eukaryota; Metazoa; Chordata; Mammalia; Primates; Hominidae
Description: retained intron
Source: RNAcentral